UGUGAUCCUGUGGAUGGAUUCUGUUCACAGGGAUGUACCAAGGGUUAUCAGGGACCUCUCUGCAAUGAAGUAUGUAAUGCAGGAUUUUAUGGCAAUAACUGUAAAAGAGAGUGCAGCCUCUUCUGCAAGACAUCACGUGACUGCCAUCACGUGACCGGAUAUUGUAAAGACGGUUGUAUAGGAGGGUGGCGGGGUGCACAGUGCUUACAAAUUGAAGAAACAGGAAAAUGGCAUUCAAGAUUUAAUGGUGUUCUCGCAGCCCUGUGUAUAAGCAUAGGAACGAUCUUGGGAUUAAUAUUCUACAUAUAUAUAAUUAAAAAAAGGUACCGUAAAAGAAUAAGAGAGCAAAAUACUUCAUCUAAUGCGGGACCUGUCAACAUUAUUUCUGGUGAAUCUGGCGAAGUUGGGGAAGAUACAAGAAAAAACUACUUGUAUCAUAAGCUUGCCCAGUCGCCCUUUUUAUCAGAUUUAUAAAUGCUGCCAUUCUUCUCAAUCAAAUGUGUCCCA
Molecule: long non-coding RNA, 507 nt
Organism: Saccostrea cuccullata (small rock oyster)
Lineage: Eukaryota; Metazoa; Mollusca; Bivalvia; Ostreida; Ostreidae
Exons: 4
Source: RefSeq, a predicted model, not a curated record